GGCGCUGUAGCCCAACUGGGAGAGGCGGCGGUCUGAGGGGCCGCAGGUUGCAGGUUCGAAUCCUGUCAGCGCCA
Molecule: transfer RNA, 74 nt
Filed under: Kitasatospora acidiphila
Lineage: Bacteria; Bacillati; Actinomycetota; Actinomycetes; Kitasatosporales; Streptomycetaceae
Also listed under: 1 other name
Rfam family: tRNA
About the family: Transfer RNA (tRNA) molecules are approximately 80 nucleotides in length. Their secondary structure includes four short double-helical elements and three loops (D, anti-codon, and T loops).
Source: Rfam by way of RNAcentral